Molecule: ribosomal RNA, 109 nt
Filed under: Acanthochromis polyacanthus (spiny chromis)
Lineage: Eukaryota; Metazoa; Chordata; Actinopteri; Pomacentridae
Source: RNAcentral
GCUUAUGGCCAUGCCAGCCUGAGUGGGCCUCAUCUUGGAAGCUAAGCAGGGUUGGGACUGGUAGAUACUUGGAUGGUAGACUGCCUGGGAAUACCAGGUUCUGUAAGCU